This 1575-nucleotide ribosomal RNA is filed under the name Triticum aestivum (bread wheat). RNAcentral describes it as "partial small subunit ribosomal RNA". Lineage: Eukaryota; Viridiplantae; Streptophyta; Magnoliopsida; Poales; Poaceae. The record is from RNAcentral.
AUGGGGGAGGUGAAGGAGAAGGAGGCGCUGGCGGAGAUCCUUGAGGACCAUCGGAAGGGAUCUUCCGAUGACACCCUACCACCCGCGGGGCUGGACCUCAACGAAGGCUUCAGCGAGGCAAGCGACGACGGGAGAGACGGCGACGAGAACUACGACGACGAUGGCGGUAGCACAAGCGAGGUUGCUGGAGGAGGCAGGAGCUCAAGCAACAACAACAGCACCAACCAUGAAUCAGAAAGCAGCAGGGGUCGUCAUGACAAGGCCGAGGGCAGCGGCGAGAGGGUGCCCACGGUGCGGCAGUACAACCGGUCGAAGCACCCCCGGCUCCGCUGGACGCCGGACCUCCACAUGGCGUUCCUCCAUGCCGUCGAGCGGCUGGGCGGCCAAGAGAGAGCAACGCCAAAGCUGGUGCUUCAGAUGAUGAAUGUGAGGGGGCUCAACAUUGCUCAUGUGAAAAGUCACUUGCAGAUGUACAGAAGCAAAAAGAUAGAGCACGAGUCCAGCCACGAGAGGGCGGCCAUGUCCUCAGUCUUUUCGCCCAUGAAUUUCCACAUGAGGAGAGGGGACCAUCCGUUCCACGACAUGUUCUUCCAGCAGCGAGCUGCCGGCUCGACGCUCACCUCCAGGUUCAACGACGGUGGGGUCUUCACGCCGAGGAAUGCCGGCUUCCCGGAUGCUAGCCGGAUUUACGGGCUCCUCCAAUGCCGGCAGCCUCCAUUACAAACCUUCGACUUCAAGAACAGCACGAGCCUUAGGAAUCAAGAAUGGGCGUUCACCCAGCACGCGGCGGCGGCGAGGGCACGCGCGGUUAAUGACAAUGGUCCGGGGAAAGGGCUAAUCCACGAGAUGAUCUUCAGGAAGGACGGCAAGCCGACGUCGCAUUUGUUCGACGUGAGGGACGCCGCCGCCUCCAGCGGGACGACGUCGCCGUCAACAACAACAACAACCACGAGCCAAGCCGACCGUAGGCCAGAUGGCGCAAAGAUGGGAAGCAUGAAUUGGAUCGGCAGCAGCUCUCGGCCGCUCUCGAAGACAAUGUCGGCUACUGGUUUGGAGCAGGGCGGCCACGCUCAGCUCCCAUUUAGGUGGCGAGGUGCCGCCGGCAGCAAUGGCUGCCACCCCAACGGCAACACUGGCAGAACAACGUCAUCUUCAGAUCCCGUGGUGACAUGUGAAGCAGGUUCCCCGCUCUUGCUGCCGAAGCAGGGAGUGCCGAGGACUCCAGCCAAAGCUACUGAGGAGACGAGCAUCGGAGCAGACGCGAGGAAAACGAAGGCAUCGGCUGCGGCGGAGGAGAACGGGUGGGCGCCGGAGUUGCAGCUAAGCCUGAGCCCCAACGCGGCGGCAGACACUGCAGGAAGGGGCAAGAAGAGGAACAGCGCUGGGCAGGAGGUGAGCAGCGACAAGGUGCCACUCUCUCUCUCGCUGUCAUUACAUGGUGGCGUCGUCGACGACGACGACGGUGGUGGCCGGGAUGGCAGGAGGUUAGAGGUAGCGACAGGUAGCAGCAGCAAGAAGGCCGCUCUGGGGCUGAGUACUUUGGAUCUGACCAUGUCGAUCAAGACAUUGGAGUGA